Molecule: ribosomal RNA, 468 nt
Filed under: uncultured bacterium
Lineage: Bacteria
Description: partial 16S ribosomal RNA
Rfam family: Bacterial small subunit ribosomal RNA
Source: RNAcentral
GAUGAACGCUGACAGAAUGCUUAACACAUGCAAGUCUACUUGAAUUUGGGUUUUUUAACUUCGAUUUGGGUGGCGGACGGGUGAGUAACGCGUAAAGAACUUGCCUCACAGCUAGGGACAACAUUUGGAAACGAAUGCUAAUACCUGAUAUUAUGAUUAUAAGGCAUCUUAGAAUUAUGAAAGCUAUAUGCGCUGUGAGAGAGCUUUGCGUCCCAUUAGCUAGUUGGAGAGGUAACGGCUCACCAAGGCGAUGAUGGGUAGCCGGCCUGAGAGGGUGAACGGCCACAAGGGGACUGAGACACGGCCCUUACUCCUACGGGAGGCAGCAGUGGGGAAUAUUGGACAAUGGACCAAGAGUCUGAUCCAGCAAUUCUGUGUGCACGAUGACGUUUUUCGGAAUGUAAAGUGCUUUCAGUUGGGAAGAAAAAAAUGACGGUACCAACAGAAGAAGAGACGGCUAAAUACGUG